UGUGGGUCAAAAUCUCUCCCAGUUAGGGUACACGAGGCGACAAUUGCAAAUGGGGGCCAACUGCCAGAGUUGCCAUGUGUUUACAAAUCUACACACUUUAAUGAUGUCACAAAGCAGUGGAUUUCUCCGGAGUGCGAAGAGAAUUAUGAUAAUAUGAUAAAGAUCCAAGCUGAACAUUGCUCCCGACCUGGUGUGGUUCCAAUUACUCCGGAGGAGCUAUCUGUGA
This is a non-coding RNA of Camellia sinensis, 226 nucleotides long. The record is from RefSeq and is a predicted model, not a curated record. NCBI's taxonomy places the organism in Eukaryota, Viridiplantae, Streptophyta, Magnoliopsida, Ericales, Theaceae.